RNAcentral lists this ribosomal RNA (379 nucleotides) under uncultured bacterium. RNAcentral's name for it is "partial 16S ribosomal RNA". It matches the Rfam family "Bacterial small subunit ribosomal RNA", at positions 355 to 725 of the family's 1533-position model. The record is from RNAcentral.
UGGGGAAUAUUGNACAAUGGGGGCAACCCUGAUCCAGCMAUGCCGCGUGUGUGAAGAAGGCCUUAGGGUUGUAAAGCACUUUCAGUGGUGAGGAAGRUWGAUURGUUAAGAGCUACUUGAUUUGACGUUACCCACAGAAGAAGCACCGGCUAACUCCGUGCCAGCAGCCGCGGUAAUACGGAGGGUGCAAGCGUUAAUCGGAAUUACUGGGCGUAAAGSGWAUGYAGGUGGUUUAKUAAGUWRUAUGUGAAAGCCCUGGGCUCAACCUCGGAAGGUCAUUCRAUACUGUCYAACUAGAGUACGGUAGAGGGUANGUGGAAUUUCCGGUGUAGCGGUGAAAUGCGUAGAGAUCGGAAGGAACACCAGUGGCGAAGGCGGC